RNAcentral lists this ribosomal RNA (254 nucleotides) under uncultured bacterium. RNAcentral describes it as "partial 16S ribosomal RNA". It matches the Rfam family "Bacterial small subunit ribosomal RNA", at positions 524 to 776 of the family's 1533-position model. The record is from RNAcentral.
CACGUAGGGGGCGAGCGUUGUCCGGAUUUAUUGGGCGUAAAGAGCUCGUAGGCGGCUCGGUAAGUCAGGUGUGAAAACUCUAGGCUCAACCUAGAGACGCCACCUGAUACUGCCGUGGCUAGAGUCCGGUAGGGGAGCAUGGAAUUCCUGGUGUAGCGGUGAAAUGCGCAGAUAUCAGGAGGAACACCAGUGGCGAAGGCGGUGCUCUGGGCCGGAACUGACGCUGAGACGCGAAAGCGUGGGGAGCAAACAGG